RNAcentral lists this ribosomal RNA (433 nucleotides) under uncultured bacterium. Its description in RNAcentral is "partial 16S ribosomal RNA". It matches the Rfam family "Bacterial small subunit ribosomal RNA", at positions 29 to 507 of the family's 1533-position model. The record is from RNAcentral.
AACGAACGCUGGCGGCAUGCCUAACACAUGCAGGUCGAACGAGACCUUCGGGUCUAGUGGCGCACGGGUGCGUAACGCGUGGGAACCUGCCCUUAGGUUCGGAAUAACUCCCCGAAAGGGGUGCUAAUACCGGAUAAUGUCUUCGGACCAAAGAUUUAUCGCCCUUGGAUGGGCCCGCGUUGGAUUAGCUAGUUGGUAGGGUAAAAGCCUACCAAGGCGACGAUCCAUAGCUGGUCUGAGAGGAUGAUCAGCCACACUGGGACUGAGACACGGCCCAGACUCCUACGGGAGGCAGCAGUGGGGAAUAUUGGACAAUGGGCGAAAGCCUGAUCCAGCAAUGCCGCGUGAGUGAUGAAGGCCUUAGGGUUGUAAAGCUCUUUUACCCGGGAUGAUAAUGACAGUACCGGGAGAAUAAGCUCCGGCUAACUCCGUG